This is a long non-coding RNA of Alosa alosa (allis shad), 830 nucleotides long. RefSeq lists it as uncharacterized. Lineage: Eukaryota; Metazoa; Chordata; Actinopteri; Clupeiformes; Clupeidae. The record is from RefSeq and is a predicted model, not a curated record. The transcript is spliced from 3 exons.
UGCUAGCCGCCAGCCUUGUCAAAGUUAACUUUGCUAACGUUUUGCUGAGCCUACCCUAUUGACUACAUUUGUUGCACACUUAAAAAAAUAUCUUCAAAAGUAUUUAGAAGGUGGUUUCAUUUAUUUCCAUUCCAAUAACUUCACACAUUACAUUUCCGUUUGCACUUGUAGGCUAUGCUGCAUUAAUUUAUUUGUUCCUACUAUUUAGUUUAUUUUCUGGAACUUCUAUUUCUCAGAGCCGUGUACGGCUCUGCUAUUUCUUAUCCUGGACUGCCACCUGCUGGAUAGAAAAAGCAACAGGUCAUUAUGUGAACAAAAAUCUACACGUUUGAAUGGCCAAAAAAAAGAUAAAUCAUAGGUGGUAUUCCACACAUUACCAUGGUGUUAGGGUAGCCUACUCUGCACAUGUCAUUGACGGUGACAUGCUAACUUCAGUCAUUUGCAUUUAUCAUGCUGAAAAUCUGACACCAGGCACUAUACUGAUGCCUGACCCAAAGGGACAAUUAUAAUAAAAGAGAGGAGUUAUGUGCUGGCCCGGGACAAGGAGCCAGGUGCCUCCUCCUCGGACCCUCCACCUGUCGCUAAAGUGCUUGAGCGCUGAGGUCGACUCUCCCUGUACUGCACGUACAGGGACGCCCCACCAGCAGUGGUCCCCUCUUCCUGUCUCUCCUCCUCUCAGCAACCACUUCAACAUUGACUUCCCCUCCACAAGGACCGGGACCUUGCCGUGGUGUGGAGGUUUCAUACAAACACCGGUCCACCCACCCUGCAACAACUCUUCUACAGGACAGUGACACUACGUUUCUUUAAAAAAAAAAAAAAAACAUUCU